AGAGUUUGAUCAUGGCUCAGGACGAACGCUGGCGGCGUGCUUAACACAUGCAAGUGGAGCGACGAACCAGGCUUCGGCCUGGGGCAGAGCCGCGAACGGGUGAGUAACACGUGGGUAACGUGCCCUAAUGAUCGGGACAACCCGGGGAAACCCGGGCUAAUACCGAAUGUGCUCCCCUCACAUCAGUCAGGGGUGAAAAGGAAGCUUCGGCCUCCGCAUUGGGAUCGGCCCGCGGCCCAUUAGCUUGUUGGUGAGGUAAAGGCUCACCAAGGCUGCGAUGGGUAGCUGGUCUGAGAGGACGAUCAGCCACACUGGGACUGAGACACGGCCCAGACUCCUACGGGAGGCAGCAGUGGGGAAUCUUGCGCAAUGCGCGAAAGCGUGACGCAGCAACGCCGCGUGGGGGAAGACGGCCUUCGGGUUGUAAACCCCUUUCAGGAGGGACGAAGCCCGGGCGGUUAAUAGCCGACUCGCGUGACGGUACCUCCAGAAGAAGCCCCGGCUAACUACGUGCCAGCAGCCGCGGUA
This 528-nucleotide ribosomal RNA is filed under the name uncultured Actinomycetes bacterium. RNAcentral describes it as "bacterial SSU rRNA". It matches the Rfam family "Bacterial small subunit ribosomal RNA", at positions 8 to 522 of the family's 1533-position model. Lineage: Bacteria; Bacillati; Actinomycetota; Actinomycetes. The record is from RNAcentral.